AUACGUAGGGGGCAAGCGUUAUCCGGAUUUACUGGGUGUAAAGGGAGCGUAGACGGCGAUGCAAGUCUGAAGUGAAAACCCGGGGCUCAACCCCGCGGACUGCUUUGGAAACUGUGUUGCUGGAGUGCGGGAGAGGUGAGUGGAAUUCCUAGUGUAGCGGUGAAAUGCGUAGAUAUUAGGAGGAACACCAGUGGCGAAGGGGGCUCACUGGACUGUAACUGACGUUGAGGCUCGAAAGCGUGGGGAGCAAACAGAAUUAGAUCCCCUGGUAGUCCACGCCGUAAACGAUGAAUGCUAGGUGUCGGGGGGCAAAGCCCUUCGGUGCCGCCGCUAACGCAUUAAGCAUUCCACCUGGGGAGUACGUUCGCAAGAAUGAAACUCAAAUGAAUUGACGGGG
Molecule: ribosomal RNA, 397 nt
Filed under: uncultured bacterium
Lineage: Bacteria
Description: partial 16S ribosomal RNA
Rfam family: Bacterial small subunit ribosomal RNA
Source: RNAcentral